RNAcentral lists this ribosomal RNA (584 nucleotides) under Alkalibacterium psychrotolerans. RNAcentral's name for it is "bacterial SSU rRNA". It matches the Rfam family "Bacterial small subunit ribosomal RNA", at positions 91 to 660 of the family's 1533-position model. The record is from RNAcentral. Lineage: Bacteria; Bacillati; Bacillota; Bacilli; Lactobacillales; Carnobacteriaceae.
AUGAGUGGCGAACGGGUGAGUAACACGUGGGUAACCUGCCCAUAAGAGGGGGAUAACAUCCGGAAACGGGUGCUAAUACCGCAUAGGUGAACGGAGCGCAUGCUCUGCUCAUUAAAGAUGGCCUUGUGCUAUCGCUUAUGGAUGGACCCGCGGCGUAUUAGCUAGUUGGUGAGGUAAUGGAUCACCAAGGCGAUGAUACGUAGCCGACCUGAGAGGGUGAUCGGCCACACUGGGACUGAGACACGGCCCAGACUCCUACGGGAGGCAGCAGUAGGGAAUCUUCCACAAUGGGCGAAAGCCUGAUGGAGCAAUACCGCGUGAGUGAAGAAGGUCUUCGGAUCGUAAAGCUCUGUUGUUAGAGAAGAACACGCAGAACAGUAACUGGUUCUGCGCUGACGGUAUCUAACCAGAAAGUCACGGCUAACUACGUGCCAGCAGCCGCGGUAAUACGUAGGUGACAAGCGUUGUCCGGAUUUAUUGGGCGUAAAGCGAGCGCAGGCGGUCUUUUAAGUCUGAUGUGAAAGCCCACGGCUCAACCGUGGAUGGUCAUUGGAAACUGGAAGACUUGAAUGCAGAAGAGGUAA